This 72-nucleotide transfer RNA is filed under the name Pristimantis sp. QCAZ 56535. RNAcentral's name for it is "Pristimantis sp. QCAZ56535 partial tRNA-Gln". The record is from RNAcentral. Lineage: Eukaryota; Metazoa; Chordata; Amphibia; Anura; Strabomantidae.
GAGAGGUGGGCAUCGAACCCACACUUAAGAAAUCAAAAUUCUUAGUAAUCCNAUUUUACUACUCCCUAGUAU